Molecule: ribosomal RNA, 252 nt
Filed under: Klebsiella aerogenes
Lineage: Bacteria; Pseudomonadati; Pseudomonadota; Gammaproteobacteria; Enterobacterales; Enterobacteriaceae
Also listed under: 1 other name
Description: partial 23S ribosomal RNA
Rfam family: Bacterial large subunit ribosomal RNA
Source: RNAcentral
GAGAUUCCCCCAGUAGCGGCGAGCGAACGGGGAGCAGCCCAGAGUCUGAAUCAGCUUGUGUGUUAGUGGAACGGUCUGGAAAGUCCGACGGUACAGGGUGAUAGUCCCGUACACCAAAAUGCACAGGUUGUGAACUCGAAGAGUAGGGCGGGACACGUGGUAUCCUGUCUGAAUAUGGGGGGACCAUCCUCCAAGGCUAAAUACUCCUGACUGACCGAUAGUGAACCAGUACCGUGAGGGAAAGGCGAAAAG